This 495-nucleotide ribosomal RNA is filed under the name uncultured bacterium. Its description in RNAcentral is "partial 16S ribosomal RNA". It matches the Rfam family "Bacterial small subunit ribosomal RNA", at positions 28 to 507 of the family's 1533-position model. The record is from RNAcentral.
GACGAACGCUGGCGGCGUGCCUAAUACAUGCAAGUAGAACGCUGAAGGAGGAGCUUGCUUCUCCGGAUGAGUUGCGAACGGGUGAGUAACGCGUAGGUAACCUGCCUGUUAGCGGGGGAUAACUAUUGGAAACGAUAGCUAAUACCGCAUAAGAGUAGAUGUCGCAUGACAUUUGCUUAAAAGGUGCAACUGCACCACUACCAGAUGGACCUGCGUUGUAUUAGCUAGUUGUUGAGGUAACGGCUCACCAAGGCAACGAUACAUAGCCGACCUGAGAGGGUGAUCGGCCAAACUGGGACUGGGAAACGGCCCCGACUCCUUCGGGAGGCCGCAGUAGGGAAUCUUCGGCAAUGGAGGGAAGUCUGACCGGGCAAAGCCGCGGGAGUGAAGAAGGUUUUCGGAUCGGAAAGCUCUGUUGUAAGAGGAGAACGAGUGUGGGAGUGGAAAGUUCACGCUGUGACGGUACCUAACCAGAAAGGGACGGCUAACUACGUG